AGGACAACGCUGGCGGCGUGCUUCAAACAUGCAAGUCGAACGGAGUUAAUUUUGAAGCUUGCUUUAGAAUUAACUUAGUGGCGGACUGGUGAGUAACGCGUGAGUAAUCUGCCUAUCACAGGGGGAUAACAGAGGGAAACUUCUGCUAAUACCGCAUAAGACCACAGGAUGGCAUCAUCAAGGGGUCAAAGGUUAGAUCUGGUGAUAGAUGAGCUUGCGUAUCAUUAGCUAGUUGGUGAGGGUAAAGGCCCACCAAGGCGACGAUGAUUAGCCGAUCUGAGAGGAUGACCGGCCACACUGGGACUGAGAUACGGCCCAGACUCCUACGGGAGGCAGCAGUGGGGAAUAUUGCACAAUGGGGGAAACCCUGAUGCAGCAACGCCGCGUGAAGGAUGAAGGUUUUCGGAUUGUAAACUUCUUUUAUUCGGGACGAAGAAAGUGACGGUACCGAAUGAAUAAGCCACGGCUAACUACGUGCCAGCAGCCGCGGUAA
This 493-nucleotide ribosomal RNA is filed under the name uncultured bacterium. RNAcentral describes it as "bacterial SSU rRNA". It matches the Rfam family "Bacterial small subunit ribosomal RNA", at positions 32 to 523 of the family's 1533-position model. The record is from RNAcentral.